AGGGAAUCUUCCGCAAUGGACGCAAGUCUGACGGAGCAACGCCGCGUGAGUGAGGAAGGCCUUCGGGUCGUAAAGCUCUGUUGCCCUAGACGAACGACUUCAGGAGGAACUGCCUGAAGAGUGACGGUAUAGGAGAAGAAAGCCCCGGCUAACUACGUGCCAGCAGCCGCGGUAAUACGUAGGGGGCAAGCGUUGUCCGGAAUUAUUGGGCGUAAAGCGCGCGCAGGCGGCGACUUAAGUCUGAUGUUUAAUGCAUGGGCUCAACCCGUGUACGCAUCGGAAACUGGGUGGCUGGAGUGCAGGAGAGGAAAGUGGAAUUCCACGUGUAGCGGUGAAAUGCGUAGAGAUGUGGAGGAACACCAGUGGCGAAGGCGACUUUCUGGCCUGUAACUGACGCUGAGGCGCGAAAGCGUGGGGAGCAAAC
This 424-nucleotide ribosomal RNA is filed under the name uncultured bacterium. RNAcentral's name for it is "bacterial SSU rRNA". It matches the Rfam family "Bacterial small subunit ribosomal RNA", at positions 356 to 773 of the family's 1533-position model. The record is from RNAcentral.